AACGAACGCUGGCGGCAGGCUUAACACAUGCAAGUCGAGCGCCCCGCAAGGGGAGCGGCAGCCGGGUGAGUAACGCGUGGGAACGUACCUUUUGGUUCGGAACAACUCCGGGAACCUGGAGCUAAUACCGGAUAAGCCCUAACGGGGAAAGAUUUAUCGCCGAAAGAUCGGCCCGCGUCUGAUUAGCUAGUUGGUGAGGUAACGGCUCACCAAGGCGACGAUCAGUAGCUGGUCUGAGAGGAUGAUCAGCCACACUGGGACUGAGACACGGCCCAGACUCCUACGGGAGGCAGCAGUGGGGAAUAUUGGACAAUGGGCGCAAGCCUGAUCCAGCCAUGCCGCGUGAGUGAUGAAGGCCUUAGGGUUGUAAAGCUCUUUUGUCCGGGAAGAUAAUGACUGUACCGGAAGAAUAAGCCCCGGCUAACUUCGUG
This 431-nucleotide ribosomal RNA is filed under the name uncultured bacterium. RNAcentral describes it as "partial 16S ribosomal RNA". It matches the Rfam family "Bacterial small subunit ribosomal RNA", at positions 29 to 507 of the family's 1533-position model. The record is from RNAcentral.